GUGCCAGCCGCCGCGGUAAUACGGAGGGCGCAAGCGUUGUUCGGAAUUACUGGGCGUAAAGCGCGUGUAGGCGGCCAGGUAAGUCGGGUGUGAAAUCCCGGGGCCCAACCCCGGAACUGCACCCGAUACUGCCCGGCUGGAGUCCCGGAGAGGAUGGCGGAAUUUCCGGUGUAGAGGUGAAAUUCGUAGAUAUCGGAAGGAACACCAGUGGCGAAGGCGGCCAUCUGGACGGUGACUGACGCUGAGACGCGAAAGCGUGGGGAGCAAACAGGAUUAGAUACCCGUGUAGUCC
RNAcentral lists this ribosomal RNA (292 nucleotides) under uncultured bacterium. RNAcentral's name for it is "partial 16S ribosomal RNA". It matches the Rfam family "Bacterial small subunit ribosomal RNA", at positions 505 to 796 of the family's 1533-position model. The record is from RNAcentral.